This 64-nucleotide transfer RNA is filed under the name Ptiliidae sp. BMNH 1274726. Its description in RNAcentral is "tRNA-Tyr". The record is from RNAcentral. Lineage: Eukaryota; Metazoa; Arthropoda; Insecta; Coleoptera; Ptiliidae.
GAUGAAAUGGCCGAGAUUAGGCAAUAAACUGUAAAUUUAUUCACGAAAUUUUUUUCUUUCAUCA